UUUUUACAUUUUUAUAAAAGAAAAGAAAAAGAAAACUUUUUUUUUCCCUUUUCUUCUUCCGCCCAGCGCCGCGACCCUCCCUUCCGUUCUCCAUCUCCGUUUGCGAAGCAGCCUUGCAGCAGCCGCCGCGUAACUUUUCGUCCAGAUUUGCGUCGCCGUGCCCAGUCCUAACCGCCGCUGCAACCGUCUCCGCGCCAUUGCUCUGUCUCCGUCGAAGCCAAGGCCGCCGCGUGAACCAGUAACCGCCACGCCCUCCGCUCACAACCGUCGUCCAGAUCUGCAUCGCCGAGCCGUCCAGGUCCUCGCCGUCGCUCGUGCUUCAUCCUUGCAGUUCGUAGUAACCCAGAUUCGUCGCUGCAACCGUCGGCCGGUUCGUGAAGCCCUGCCGCGCAACCUCUGUUUCCAGCCGCCGCCCAUUCCGUUCUCCUCUGUUUUUUGCACUGCCGCGCGACUCUCCGACCGCGUCUGUCUUCACCUCCGUGAAGUCGUCGACGCAUACAUCUUGUGAAGCCCGGUCGCCGCGUCAGAUCGUCGAUCGAUUUUGAGGCAGCCGCCGCCACGUCUCCUUUGGUUGACCGCUGACCGACCCACACUUAGGAUUUUUGCUGCGAGUUCGACAGUCGUGUGUUGAGGUGUUGGGAGUAACGUUGGACUCCCUUAAAUUCACAACCAAUUUGUGAAUUGUUGAGGGUUCAGUUCGCCAAUAUUUCGGAUUGUUUCGAGGACGUUAGUUGAUUAAGGGCUUCCCUAACUUUGAGGUAAGGGAUUUUCUACUAGACUCACUUAUGAUGGUGAAUUGUAUGUCUGUAUGAUUAAUGAUUGUGAAUUGUAUGUCUGUAUGAUUAUCUCUGCCUGAGUAAAGAUGUUGAGAUGAUAUAUAUAUAUAUACACAUAUGGAUGUAGAUUCGGUGUUGAA
Long non-coding RNA from Cucumis sativus (cucumber), 916 nucleotides. RefSeq lists it as uncharacterized. NCBI's taxonomy places the organism in Eukaryota, Viridiplantae, Streptophyta, Magnoliopsida, Cucurbitales, Cucurbitaceae. The transcript has 2 exons. The record is from RefSeq and is a predicted model, not a curated record.